CAGUAGCCGCGGGAAUACAGAGGUCCCGAGCGUUGUUCGGAUUCACUGGGCGUAAAGGGUGUGUAGGAGGUUGGAUAAGUCAGGUGUGAAAUCCCGCAGCUCAACUGCGGAACUGCAUUCGAUACUGUUCAACUAGAGGAUCGGAGGGGGAAGCGGAAUUCUUGGUGUAGCGGUGAAAUGCGUAGAUAUCAAGAGGAACACCGGUGGCGAAGGCGGCUUCCUGGAAGAUACCUGACUCUGAAACACGAAAGCCAGGGGAGCGAAUGGGAUAAGAUACCCCCGUAGUCCCUGUCUCUUAUAC
RNAcentral lists this ribosomal RNA (301 nucleotides) under uncultured bacterium. RNAcentral's name for it is "partial 16S ribosomal RNA". It matches the Rfam family "Bacterial small subunit ribosomal RNA", at positions 509 to 807 of the family's 1533-position model. The record is from RNAcentral.